RNAcentral lists this ribosomal RNA (592 nucleotides) under Streptococcus mutans. RNAcentral describes it as "bacterial SSU rRNA". It matches the Rfam family "Bacterial small subunit ribosomal RNA", at positions 375 to 958 of the family's 1533-position model. The record is from RNAcentral. Lineage: Bacteria; Bacillati; Bacillota; Bacilli; Lactobacillales; Streptococcaceae.
ACGAAAGUCUGACCGAGCAACGCCGCGUGAGUGAAGAAGGUUUUCGGAUCGUAAAGCUCUGUUGUAAGUCAAGAACGUGUGUGAGAGUGGAAAGUUCACACAGUGACGGUAGCUUACCAGAAAGGGACGGCUAACUACGUGCCAGCAGCCGCGGUAAUACGUAGGUCCCGAGCGUUGUCCGGAUUUAUUGGGCGUAAAGGGAGCGCAGGCGGUCAGGAAAGUCUGGAGUAAAAGGCUAUGGCUCAACCAUAGUGUGCUCUGGAAACUGUCUGACUUGAGUGCAGAAGGCGAGAGUGGAAUUCCAUGUGUAGCGGUGAAAUGCGUAGAUAUAUGGAGGAACACCAGUGGCGAAAGCGGCUCUCUGGUCUGUCACUGACGCUGAGGCUCGAAAGCGUGGGUAGCGAACAGGAUUAGAUACCCUGGUAGUCCACGCCGUAAACGAUGAGUGCUAGGUGUUAGGCCCUUUCCGGGGCUUAGUGCCGGAGCUAACGCAAUAAGCACUCCGCCUGGGGAGUACGACCGCAAGGUUGAAACUCAAAGGAAUUGACGGGGGCCCGCACAAGCGGUGGAGCAUGUGGUUUAAUUCGAAGCA